This 468-nucleotide ribosomal RNA is filed under the name uncultured bacterium. Its description in RNAcentral is "partial 16S ribosomal RNA". It matches the Rfam family "Bacterial small subunit ribosomal RNA", at positions 28 to 507 of the family's 1533-position model. The record is from RNAcentral.
GACGAACGCUGGCGGCGUGCUUAACACAUGCAAGUCGAACGGAAAGGCCCUGCUUUUGUGGGGUGCUCGAGUGGCGAACGGGUGAGUAACACGUGAGUAACCUGCCCUUGACUUUGGGAUAACUUCAGGAAACUGGGGCUAAUACCGGAUAGGAGCUCCUGCUGCUUGGUGGGGGUUGGAAAGUUUCGGCGGUUGGGGAUGGACUCGCGGCUUAUCAGCUUGUUGGUGGGGUAGUGGCUUACCAAGGCUUUGACGGGUAGCCGGCCUGAGAGGGUGACCGGCCACAUUGGGACUGAGAUACGGCCCAGACUCCUACGGGAGGCAGCAGUGGGGAAUAUUGCACAAUGGGCGGAAGCCUGAUGCAGCAACGCCGCGUGCGGGAUGACGGCCUUCGGGUUGUAAACCGCUUUCGCCUGUGACGAAGCGUGAGUGACGGUAAUGGGUAAAGAAGCACCGGCUAACUACGUG